Molecule: long non-coding RNA, 676 nt
Filed under: Triticum aestivum (bread wheat)
Lineage: Eukaryota; Viridiplantae; Streptophyta; Magnoliopsida; Poales; Poaceae
Description: long non-coding RNA (TAES_LNC002097)
Source: RNAcentral
GCAAAACGUACCGGUUCACUUCCCUUUUCCCCCCUCGCGAACAGAUAAGGAGAAAAGGCAGGAAGGGAGAUAGCGAGCUCCGAGGUGGGCGGCGGCUGCGAAGCUCGGCGGCGUCCAGGUGCGUUCCCUCCUCGGCCCCCUCCUCCUGCAACAUCUUCCGGCACCGCCGCAUCUCACCCGUCCCCUCCACUGACGCGUCGUGCACUGCCUCCAGCUCGGCGGCCAUGGGCGUCCGCCACAGGCCCGUCCGCUCGACCGCCUCCGGCGCGGCGACUAUGGGUGUCCGCCGCUGCAUUUAGUUGCUGCAGCUGCGGCUACUAGGGGGCUGGAGUAGACGACGAAGGACUGUCGGUGCUGAAGCUUCCUGACCGUGCUUGCCUACUCUUCGGUUUCUAUGUGUGUGGAUGUGGGCAAAUUUAAUGAUUCUUGUGCGUAUGUGUAUGGACAAAUUUGAUGUUUCCUGUAGAUAGAAGGAUAAAAGCUUCACAAUCAAUGUGAAUAUGCAAUUUCAAUGUUUGUCAUCCAAGCAGGAUUUAGUAUUGAAACCUCACAGAUUUCAUGAGGCAAUUCAGUGAACAACCAAACAAGUGAAUUCGUAUUCAUGUCCAUUUCAGUUUCCUUGCUGAAAUGGUAUUCCAACCAAUUCAUUACAGAGCCUUUCAAUAUGGACAUCCAA